RNAcentral lists this ribosomal RNA (305 nucleotides) under uncultured bacterium. RNAcentral describes it as "bacterial SSU rRNA". It matches the Rfam family "Bacterial small subunit ribosomal RNA", at positions 337 to 658 of the family's 1533-position model. The record is from RNAcentral.
ACCUACGGGAGGCAGCAGUAGGGAAUCUUCCACAAUGGGCGAAAGCCUGAUGCAGCGACGCCGCGUGAGUGAAGAAGUAUUUCGGUAUGUAAAGCUCUAUCAGCAGGGAAGAAAAAAGACGGUACCUGACUAAGAAGCCCCGGCUAACUACGUGCCAGCAGCCGCGGUAAUACGUAGGGGGCAAGCGUUAUCCGGAUUUACUGGGUGUAAAGGGAGCGUAGACGGCGCGGCAAGUCUGAAGUGAAAGGCAGGGGCUUAACCCCUGAACUGCUUUGGAAACUGUGGAGCUAGAGUGCUGGAGAGGG